This 74-nucleotide transfer RNA is filed under the name Candidatus Thorarchaeota archaeon SMTZ-45. RNAcentral's name for it is "tRNA-Arg". It matches the Rfam family "tRNA". Rfam says of the family: Transfer RNA (tRNA) molecules are approximately 80 nucleotides in length. Their secondary structure includes four short double-helical elements and three loops (D, anti-codon, and T loops). Lineage: Archaea; Promethearchaeati; Candidatus Thorarchaeota. The record is from RNAcentral.
GACUCAGUAGCUCAGUUGGAUAGAGCAUCUGCCUUCUAAGCAGUUGGUCGGGGGUUCAAGUCCCUCCUGAGUCG